This 549-nucleotide ribosomal RNA is filed under the name uncultured bacterium. Its description in RNAcentral is "partial 16S ribosomal RNA". It matches the Rfam family "Bacterial small subunit ribosomal RNA", at positions 355 to 895 of the family's 1533-position model. The record is from RNAcentral.
UGGGGAAUAUUGCACAAUGGGCGCAAGCCUGAUGCAGCCAUGCCGCGUGUGUGAAGAAGGCCUUCGGGUUGUAAAGCACUUUCAGCGAGGAGGAAGGUGGUGGACUUAAUACGUUCAUCAAUUGACGUUACUCGCAGAAGAAGCACCGGCUAACUCCGUGCCAGCAGCCGCGGUAAUACGGAGGGUGCAAGCGUUAAUCGGAAUUACUGGGCGUAAAGCGCACGCAGGCGGUUUGUUAAGUCAGAUGUGAAAUCCCCGGGCUCAACCUGGGAACUGCAUUUGAAACUGGCAAGCUAGAGUCUCGUAGAGGGGGGUAGAAUUCCAGGUGUAGCGGUGAAAUGCGUAGAGAUCUGGAGGAAUACCGGUGGCGAAGGCGGCCCCCUGGACGAAGACUGACGCUCAGGUGCGAAAGCGUGGGGAGCAAACAGGAUUAGAUACCCCUGGUAGUCCACGCUGUAAACGAUGUCGAUUUGGAGGUUGUGCCCUUGAGGCGUGGCUUCCGGAGCUAACGCGUUAAAUCGACCGCCUGGGGAGUACGGCCGCAAGGUU